UGUCCCCACUGUCACUGGGAGGUACCGAUGCUUCCCAUCAAUUUAGGAGACAGCUGAGACCAGAUGCAACGUUCAGAAGAUGAAAGUCAGGAGGGAUGAACCCCUCCAGGACAUGUUCCUGCAGGUCGCUGAGCCAGCACAUCCCCACUGGUAAGCUGAUGUCCUAAUGGACCGGCGUUCCUUUUCCCUUCUCACAGCAUCUGGCUGUUAAUUCAUCUUGUGAUUUGUCUCUGAAAGUCCCAGCGUGUUUUUAGACUCCGGAGUAUUUUCAAGAAUUCACCUAGACACUUGGAAACAGGAGGGAAAAAGAACAGGAGCAUGUGAAUGAAUAUGAUUAACGGGUCAUGGUUAUUCACAGAUCCAUCUCUUAAAUGUAAUUAGUUCAUUACAAUAUAUCCAUGUUACAGAACUUCUAUAAACAAGUGUUGAGGUCUGUCAACUCAGACCCUUUAAAGUCCAGAUCUUGGAGAGGAAAAAAAGAUUUGGAAUGGAGAAAAAUAGCAAUUAGAGUUAAAUGGCAAAAUGGAGACUUAAUGUGUAGUGAGCAAUACUCCUUUUAGUGGAAAAUGUUUUUUAUGUUAACUUUUGUAAGAAAACAGUUUUCCAUACUUGUCAGGCUUGACAGUUAAAGUUAAUGGUGUUAAAAAACAGAGUACUGAAAAAUGUUCCCUUCAGCGUAAAAGAUUUAUUCAAUGAGAGUUUGCUUGAAAAGUUAUUUUGGCGAACGGUGCUGGCUUUUGCCUAACGCUUGGAACAAAGGUCCUUGCUGUGUUACCAGGAUGGGGACAGCCCCAAUUCAUGAUUUCCCAAUUAAGAUGACAUGACCUAUUUUCUUGUAUUGUUGACCUAUUGUUGACCCCUUUUUAAAAAGAAUGCCACCCUUCAAAUGUCUUUUUUUUUCUCUUUCCCUCUCCUCCUGGAAAAACACAUGGAGCAAGCGCUGAUCUCACUUCUGCCUGGAGUAAAGCCGGGUACAUGCUGGGAUGCUCAGAGACAGAAUUUGUGACUUCAUCUGCACUGAAAGAAAAUUCAAAACAGCUGGAAACUAAGGACUUCUUUGUGUGCGGCGUUUCCAGUCCCAGUCCCAGCAAGCCCAGAAAACCUGUGCUUUCCCGGCAGUGGAUGCGGCGGAGAGACCUGGUUGACGGGAUGGAGCCCGGCUCGGCUGUCGGAUGCGCCGGGGAGGGUGAGACUCUUCUACAUAAAUGUAGAUGCCACCAGGUGAAUGACUGGACUCCAACUCCCGGCGGCGACACCACCCCUCCAUGUGGUUCCUCACCUCCUAAAGGAGCUACCUAAAGAGGAAACCCAGAGCUGGUGAAAAUCUGAGGCUGUAUUUAUUAGGAGGUUCUGGAGCUCUUUCUGCAUUUCCUUGCUGAUCCCAGGUUACUUGAAACCUUGAUGAGCUGCUUUAGCCUGGUCCCAUCCCUGCCAGAAAUCCAUGACUUGGACCAACACACCGUGGUUUCAACACCGUGGAAAUGUCAUUGAAACUCUUCUACCAUGGGAUAACUGGGAGCAGGAUCAGCCUCCUGGUCCUCAGAGACACCACUUCAUUAAUUAAAUAAACCAGUGACCUCUGAGACAGGAGAGAAAACACGAAUGGAGAGAGGAGAGUGGGUUUUCUCUCCACCGCGUCUCUGCUUCUCCAGUGCUUCCUUCUCCAGCUGCCCAGUGAGGCUGAGCUCCUCCCAGCAG
Molecule: long non-coding RNA, 1698 nt
Organism: Calidris pugnax (ruff)
Lineage: Eukaryota; Metazoa; Chordata; Aves; Charadriiformes; Scolopacidae
Exons: 5
Source: RefSeq, a predicted model, not a curated record